GGAGCGGGGCUUUGCCAGGGUCCAUUGUACUCACGCUGGGGGGCUAGAGACCUUCUUUUACUGGUUCUGCUUAUCAGCCAAACUUCACCUAACCUUUGGACUUGUUAAGCCAGUGCCUUGCAGCCUAGGCGCGGGGCUUUUCCACCGGUUCUCAGUUCCGCUUUAGUCCAGAGAGAAGACACUACGCUUCGGGGUUCAGUUUGUUGUAAUAGGUGCAAAUCUUUGCUUCUCAUAAUUCUGCCCAAUGGAAGAACAUUCUCUGCCUACCCAGCUUGCCUCAAGAAGGAUAAUGAAGUGUUCAGAGUAAAUGUCCCUGAAGAACAAUCUCUUCGUCUGUCUCUCACUCGCUAUCAGGAUAGAAGCAUCAAGUGUAAUGAAGAUCAGUUUCUGUGUUAAGCUGGGAAAACCCAUUUAAAAAACAGCAAUCACUUCUGUUGUAACAACAAAACUUUGAUUGGCAGUUGCAGCUGCUGUGUGCCCCAUCUGAUUCCCAAGCCUCAUUCUCUCUCAAAAUUCAGGUGUCAGCAAACCCAUUCUUCCCCACACCCCAGCUAACUAUGUGAAUGUGCAGGCAAUUUCACACAGAGGAUAGGACAAACUUCCUAUGAGUGUCCAGGACGUGCAAUCCCUGGUAUAAAAUAAGUUGAAAUCCAGUUGACU
This 660-nucleotide long non-coding RNA is filed under the name Homo sapiens (human). RNAcentral describes it as "non-protein coding lnc-TBC1D3K-1:2". Lineage: Eukaryota; Metazoa; Chordata; Mammalia; Primates; Hominidae. The record is from RNAcentral.